GGCCCAAAUUAGAAGUAGAGUAGGUUAGUAUUGUCAGCUGGUCCUACUAAUCUACUCUGCUUCAAAUUUGGGCCC
Non-coding RNA from Haemonchus placei, 75 nucleotides. The record is from Rfam. NCBI's taxonomy places the organism in Eukaryota, Metazoa, Nematoda, Chromadorea, Rhabditida, Trichostrongylidae.